CUACGGGAGGCAGCAGUGAGGAAUAUUGCCCAAUGGACGCAAGUCUGAGGCAGCGACGCCGCGUGGGUGAAGAAGGCCUUCGGGUCGUAAAGCCCUUUUCCAGGUGACGAGAAAAGGACGGUAGCCUGGGAAUAAGUCUCGGCUAACUACGUGCCAGCAGCCGCGGUAAAACGUAGGACGCAAACGUUAUCCGGAGUUACUGGGCGUAAAGCGCGAGCAGGCGGUUGGAUAAGUUACCUAUGAAAGCUCCCGGCUAAACUGGGAGAGGAUAGGUGAUACUGUUUAACUAGAGUGAGAUAGAGGCAAGUAGAAUUCCGGGUGUAGUGGUGAAAUGCGUAGAUAUCCGGAGGAAUACCAGUGGCGAAGGCGGCUUGCUGGAUCUCAACUGACGCUGAGACGCGAAAGCGUGGGUAGCGAACGGGAUUAGAAACCCCGGUAGUCC
RNAcentral lists this ribosomal RNA (442 nucleotides) under uncultured bacterium. Its description in RNAcentral is "bacterial SSU rRNA". It matches the Rfam family "Bacterial small subunit ribosomal RNA", at positions 339 to 796 of the family's 1533-position model. The record is from RNAcentral.